AUGGGCCGAAAGAACCGCAACCCCGCUCCAAACCCUACUCCUCCCCGGGCCGCCGCCGCCGGCGGCAUUGCCGCCGUGCGCGCCGACUGUGACAAGGCCCUCGCGUACCUCCAGCGCGGAAACCCGUCCAAGGCGCUGCGGCUGCUGAGGGACGCCGUCGCGCGCCACGGCGAGGGGUCGCCGCUCCUCCUCCGCGCGCAGGGCACCGUGCACUCCCGCGCUGCCGCCCCCCUCAACGACCCCGCCGCCCGCGCGCGCCACCACCGAGCCGCGCUCCAGGCCGCCCGCCGCGCCGUGGAGCUCGCGCCGGACUCCCUCGAGCUCGCCCACUUCCACGCCCUGCUCCUCUACGAGGCCGCCUCCGGUAACCGCGACUACGAGGACGUCAUCGCCGAGUGCGAGCGCGGUCUCCGCAUCGAGGUGCCCUCCGACCCGGCACCCCACUGCCUCAGGCUGCCCGCCCCUGGACCUGACCAGCUCCGAGACGACCUCCGCAACCUCAUCCAGAAGGCCAAUCUCGCCUCAAUAUCCACCUGGGUCAAGGCCCUCGGCGGCACUGAUGACAAGCUUGGGUUUUUCCGCCUGGCUGAUGAACCCUUGGAGCUCCAGCCCCUACCUGCAGCGCACCGCCCCAUCGGGAUCAAGAAGGCCACCAAGACCCCUGAGGAGCGCCGCAAGGAGAUCGAGGUGCAGGUCGCUGCGAUGAGGCUGGUGGAGCAGCACCAGCUGCCGCACAAUCCUGCUGUCGCUGCAUCCUCACCACCGCUGUCAGAGGAAGAUGAGGCCCCCUGCUCAUCAUGUCAGUCUGGUGUGAAACUGCGGCGUUCUUGA
This 831-nucleotide ribosomal RNA is filed under the name Triticum aestivum (bread wheat). RNAcentral describes it as "partial small subunit ribosomal RNA". The record is from RNAcentral. Lineage: Eukaryota; Viridiplantae; Streptophyta; Magnoliopsida; Poales; Poaceae.